Dipodomys ordii (Ord's kangaroo rat) is the source of this 69-nucleotide non-coding RNA. Lineage: Eukaryota; Metazoa; Chordata; Mammalia; Rodentia; Heteromyidae. The record is from Rfam.
GGGAAAGUGGCUCAGUGGUAGAGUGCUUGCUUUGCAUGCAUGAAGACCUGGGUUUAUUCCUCAGCACCA